GACUUAGUGCGCGAUACAAUCGUGGCUGUCUAGUUGCCUAAAAAGCAAUUGAUAGCAAGGCCGGGCAAGACCGGUGCCAGCCGCCGCGGUAACACCGGCGGCUCGAGUGGUAACCGCUAUUAUUUGGUCUAAAGGGUCUGUAGCCGGCUUAGUUAGUCUCUUGAGAAAUCUGGCCGCUCAACGGUCAGGCGUUCAGGGGAUACUGCUAAAGCUCGAGACCGGGAGAGGUGAGAGGUACUUCAGGGGUAGGGGUGAAAUCUUGUAAUCCUUGAAGGACCACCAGUGGCGAAGGCGUCUCACCAGAACGGAUCUGACGGCAAGGGACGAAAGCUAGGGGCACGAACCGGAUUAGAUACCCGGGUAGUCCUAGCCGUAAACGAUACUCGCUAGGUGUCGGCCACGGUGCGACCGUGGUCGGUGCCGUAGGGAAGCCGUGAAGCGAGCCACCUGGGAAGUACGGCCGCAAGGCUGAAACUUAAAGGAAUUGGCGGGGGAGCACUACAACGGGUGGAGCUUGCGGUUUAAUUGGAUUCAACGCCGGAAAUCUUACCGGGGCCGACAGCGAUAUGAAGGCCAGGCUAAGGACCUUGCCCGAUUAGCUGAGAGGUGGUGCAUGGCCGUCGUCAGUUCGUACUGUGAAGCAUCCUGUUAAGUCAGGCAACGAGCGAGACCCACGCCCACAGUUGCCAGCGUAUCCUCAGGGAUGACGGGUACACUGUGGGGACCGCCGCUGCUAAAGCGGAGGAAGGAAUGGGCAACGGUAGGUCAGUAUGCCCCGAAUGCCCCGGGCUACACGCGAGCUACAAUGACUGGUACAAUGGUAUCUACCCCGAAAGGGGAUGGAAAUCUCCUAAAGCCAGCCUUAGUUCGGAUCGAGGGCUAUAACUCGCCCUCGUGAAGCUG
RNAcentral lists this ribosomal RNA (903 nucleotides) under uncultured archaeon. RNAcentral describes it as "bacterial SSU rRNA". It matches the Rfam family "Archaeal small subunit ribosomal RNA", at positions 379 to 1284 of the family's 1478-position model. The record is from RNAcentral.